Molecule: ribosomal RNA, 794 nt
Filed under: uncultured bacterium
Lineage: Bacteria
Description: bacterial SSU rRNA
Rfam family: Bacterial small subunit ribosomal RNA
Source: RNAcentral
AGAGUUUGAUCAUGGCUCAGGAUGAACGCUAGCGGCAGGCCUAAUACAUGCAAGUCGAGGGGCAGCACGAGUAGCAAUACUUGGUGGCGACCGGCGCACGGGUGCGUAACACGUAUGCAAUCUACCUUUAACUGGAGAAUAGCCCGAAGAAAUUCGGAUUAAUACUCCAUAGCAUUACGAAGUAGCAUUACUUUGUAAUUAAAGCUCCGGCGGUUAAAGAUGAGCAUGCGUCCGAUUAGCUAGUUGGUGAGGUAACGGCUCACCAAGGCGACGAUCGGUAGGGGUACUGAGAGGUUACACCCCCACACUGGUACUGAGACACGGACCAGACUCCUACGGGAGGCAGCAGUAAGGAAUAUUGGACAAUGGUCGCAAGACUGAUCCAGCCAUGCCGCGUGAAGGACUGAAGGUUCUAUGAAUUGUAAACUUCUUUUGUAUGGGAAAAAACCCCUGGACGUGUCCGGGGCUGAUUGUACCAUAAGAAUAAGGGUCGGCUAACUUCGUGCCAGCAGCCGCGGUAAGACGAAGGACCCGAGCGUUAUCCGGAUUCAUUGGGUUUAAAGGGUGCGUAGGCGGACUUAUAAGUCAGUGGUGAAAUCUCCAGGCUCAACUUGGAAACUGCCAUUGAUACUGUUAGUCUUGAAUCUGGCUGAUGUGGGCGGAAUAUGACAUGUAGCGGUGAAAUGCUUAGAUAUUACAUGGAAUACCAAUUGCGAAGGCAGGUUACUAUCACUAUAUUGACGCUGAUGGACGAAAGCGUGGGGAGCGAACAGGAUUAGAUACCCUGGUAGUCC